This 253-nucleotide ribosomal RNA is filed under the name uncultured bacterium. Its description in RNAcentral is "partial 16S ribosomal RNA". It matches the Rfam family "Bacterial small subunit ribosomal RNA", at positions 524 to 776 of the family's 1533-position model. The record is from RNAcentral.
UACAGAGGGGGCCAGCGUUAUUCGGAAUUAUUGGGCGUAAAGGGCGCGUAGGCGGCUUUGCGUGUCUUUCGUGAAAUCCCUCGGCUCAACUGAGGACGUGCGGAAGAAACUGCAGGGCUGGAGUCCGGGAGAGGAGGGUGGAAUUCCCGGUGUAGCGGUGAAAUGCGUAGAUAUCGUGUGGAACGCCAAUGGUGAAAACAGGUCGCUGGGGAUGCGCUGACGCUGAGACACGAAAGCCAGGGGAGCAAACGGG